AUUGAACGCUGGCGACAUGCCUUACACAUGCAAGUCGAACGGCAGCACGGGUGCUUGCACCUGGUGGCGAGUGGCGAACGGGUGAGUAAUACAUCGGAACAUGUCCUGUAGUGGGGGAUAGCCCGGCGAAAGCCGGAUUAAUACCGCAUACGAUCUACGGAUGAAAGCGGGGGACCUUCGGGCCUCGCGCUAUAGGGUUGGCCGAUGGCUGAUUAGCUAGUUGGUGGGGUAAAGGCCUACCAAGGCGACGAUCAGUAGCUGGUCUGAGAGGACGACCAGUCACACUGGGACUGAGACACGGCCCAGACUCCUACGGGAGGCAGCAGUGGGGAAUUUUGGACAGUGGGCGAAAGCCUGAUCCAGCAAUGCCGCGUGUGUGAAGAAGGCCUUCGGGUUGUAAAGCACUUUUGUCCGGAAAGAAAUCCUUGGCCCUAAUACGGUCGGGGGAUGACGGUACCGGAAGAAUAAGCACCGGCUAACUACGU
RNAcentral lists this ribosomal RNA (485 nucleotides) under uncultured bacterium. RNAcentral's name for it is "partial 16S ribosomal RNA". It matches the Rfam family "Bacterial small subunit ribosomal RNA", at positions 30 to 506 of the family's 1533-position model. The record is from RNAcentral.